Molecule: ribosomal RNA, 604 nt
Filed under: Cuscuta erosa
Lineage: Eukaryota; Viridiplantae; Streptophyta; Magnoliopsida; Solanales; Convolvulaceae
Description: eukaryotic LSU rRNA
Rfam family: 5.8S ribosomal RNA (bases 212-367)
Source: RNAcentral
CCUGCGGAAGGAUCAUUGUCAAAACCUUAGCAGAACAGUGACUCGAGAACUUGUCCAGGCGCAAAACUCUAGUGUCGGGGCCAUCUUUAGGGCUUGACCUCGAUGAACAAAAACACCGGCGCAGUAGCGCCAAGGAAUUCCGUCAUGAGAUUGCUUGCUCGUUCAGCCCUUUUUUAAGUGCUUGUGUGGGUGGGCGUCUUUCUAUUAAAAUGACUCUCGGCAAUGGAUAUCUCGGCUCUUGCAUCGAUGAAGAACGUAGCGAAAUGCGAUACGUGGUGUGAAUUGCAGAAUCCCGUGAACCAUCGAAUCUUUGAACGCAAGUUGCGCCUGAAGCCAUUAGGUUGAGGGCACGUCUGCUUGGGUGUCAUGUGUUGUGUCGUCCCUCUCUUGUUUUGUAGUGGGAGUGGAUCAUGGCCUCCUGGGCCCAUCCUUGGGUGUGGUUGGCCGAAAAUGUUGUCACUGAUGGUGUUCAAUGUCUUGGCGUGCGGUGGAUGUAUCGAGUGUGCAUAAUGGCGCGCCUUGCUUCGCCUUUCUGUGGCGGGUGGUCCCUAUGAAGCUGACAGAGUCGGCUCUUUGUUUGCGACCCCAAGUCAGGCGGGACAAC